CAAAAAUGCAUCUUUCUUUAAUUUUUUUUUCUAGCACAGAAGUAAAUAGAUGUCUUUAACAUGAAAUCUUGGUGUAAAUUUGUUGAAUUAACUUUGCAAUGCUUCCUGAGUUUCAGUCCCCUGAGUACAGGUUGCCUUUUACGGUAGAGCUCUGCUUUUGCAGGAGCUAGAGCUGUGUGGCAACACUGCUGUUUUGCUUUGCUCUGUGUUUUGCUCCUAGGCUUUGGUCUUGUGAGCCACAGGUGCCUUCAUAUUAAUUCACUGUGGGUUCCCAUUGGGAGAAAAACAACGCAUGCACUCUGAGGAGAUGCCUGGCUGUGGCAAAGAGAAGAGUUUUCUCCGUUGUCGUGUCCUACAGGUGAAACAGCUGCCCUGCAGUUUUGCUGAUGAUGCUGCACUGGUGGAAGAGGGAGGGAAUUUGAAGCUCAAAGCCAGUUGCUGAAAUACCCUUCUUCUGGAGACACAAGGCCUGAUUCUGCAAGAAAUGAGUGAAGACCACUUCCUCUGAGGUCAUUAAAUUUCAGGUACAGACACAACAAAGCAGAAAACAUCUUUACCUUUAUGCUGAAGUCACUGGAACUGUCCGUGAACUUGAUGUUAAGCAUGUACUUUUAAAUGCUUAACUUCACUGGAAACCCAGUAUUUCAGAGGCUCAGGCCCUUCAGUCUGAAACCUAUCGUAGUGAUAAAUUUCAGGCAGUUUCUGAAUAUCUUGUCUCCCUUCUCGCACCUUCACAGAGCUUUUUUCUUUUCUUUAAUGUAGAUUUCUAUUUGUAAAAUGUUUCAAUGUAUUUAUUUUGCUAUUCAUUCAUUAAUGGCAUUUGCUAUCCAUUAAUGACAACGUGGCUAAAAUACUAUUAGAAAUAUGACAUUGCUGUGGAGGCAAAUUAGAAAUGUAAUGAACAACAUAGAGUCUCUCAAAUUUUGUAUGCUUAAUUAACUAUGCAUUAAUGUGUUUCCUUGCAAAUUGUGCCAUAAGGACUUUGAGUUUCCGACUGAUCUGUGUUGCUGUCCGUCAUUAGUCUUGAGCAAUCCAUAUUUCCAUCUCUUGCUUUUCAGAACCCCUGAAAGGUAUACACCCUCCCUGCAAUUGCAGGUCCAUGUCCACCCAACAGCAUGAGCUGCCCUCGCUGCUAUAUUCUCUGGGGAGUUUAUCUAUACUUCCUGCUCUAUAUGUCAUCCUAAAACAUUUUACAGAGCAGUAUAAGCUGGUAAAAAUUCACUUUUUCACAAAAUGAGUGUGAAAAUUGCAGCAACCAAUUGACUUGUGCAUACCCACUUUCAGCUCUUAAGUGCUAUAUCCUCUCUCACUCCACCUUCAGUUUAAUGUCCUAACCUCAGUGAUGCACAGAAUUAUAUAGCUUAAUAUAUAGCUUAAUCCAUUCCAGGGAGUUUUAUCUUUUCUUAUAUUAACUUAUCCAUAGAUGAUCUUGCAAUGAUGGC
This 1442-nucleotide long non-coding RNA is filed under the name Struthio camelus australis. RNAcentral describes it as "lncRNA (ENSSCUG00000013339.1)". The record is from RNAcentral. Lineage: Eukaryota; Metazoa; Chordata; Aves; Struthioniformes; Struthionidae.